This 1336-nucleotide long non-coding RNA is filed under the name Mus musculus (house mouse). RNAcentral describes it as "long non-coding RNA chr7:27842195-27843531". The record is from RNAcentral. Lineage: Eukaryota; Metazoa; Chordata; Mammalia; Rodentia; Muridae.
CUCACCUCCUGUGACAGGAUGUUUUACAGCUAAUUAUCUUCAUAAAGGAUCAUGGCUUAAUUGAGACAACAUAAGUGUUAUCAUAGAUGAGGGAAGGUUCUCAGGAGAGUGGUCCAUGGUGCACAGUCCCAUUCACUAACAGUGGGCACAGAAUGCUGGACGCUGCCUGAGCACUGCAGCCCCUCCAGCCUCGCUGUGCUUCAGCCCUGAGUUUACACAGGAGGGGCCACCUGGAUGCUGUGAGCCCCUGUGAGCCUUGAUAGGUGGGGUUCCAGUGUGAAGAUCUGAGAUCUGCUCACAGUAGGAGGAGCGGCCCAGGUGCAGGUCGAGCUGGAUCUCAGGGUGGAAGAUGGAUCCCUUCUGCUGGCCUCUUCUGGAGGAGUUCAAGGCAGACAUGUUUUGUGCCCUGCACUCCCACACUGCCCCCUUGGCAGUGGGCUGUCUGGGUUAGGAGGGGAUCAGCUUUGUGUAGACUCCUGUGUGCUCCAAUUUGUGUGUGGGAGGCUGUGAGUGGUGGGAGGGGAGAGAGUGAGUGGGGAGGCUUGAGAAAUAAAUGUAGCUGAUGACAUCACAGUGACAGAAGCCAGUCUGGGAACAUCAAGUCAGAAUGCAGUGAAUGGCUUUCUUUUUGUCCCCCAGGGGAGGAAGCCUGAAGAAGAAUGGCCAGCACUAAUUCUCAAGACAUGGUUUGUGUAAGUUGCAUUCCUUCUUGACAUAGGGUAACUUUCAGGUUAGGUGACUCCUUCUUGUCUUUACCUCUUGAAGCUUCCCAAGGAUCCAGAAUCCCCUGGCCCAGGGUUGAGAGUUGGCAGGUCUGAGCACUUCCUGUCUGUGCCUCUUCCCAGCGUGCACUGUGGUUGACUUUGAAUGCAUUCCUCCACGUGUGCUCUCUGCUUGGUCUGUGCUCAGGGAGGACUGUCCCUGCAGUGGAGGUGACAGUCCCACAGGGAAACAGGGGCCUUGGGGGCUUCAGAGCUUUGAGGUGAUGGUUCCAUGUGACUGCCCUGGGAAAUCAGAUUGACAUCUAAGGUGUUGUCAGGCUAAUGACUCGGGGUGUGAGAGUGAGUGUCCCCUGUGGGUGUGUGUGAUAAGGUGACCUGCUUGAGGAAGCUUUAGGAGAGAGUUCAGUGAUCAGAGGGAAAGGUCAUCCAGGCUGUGUGAUAGGGAGGUGACUGCAGUCUCCAGAGUCAGGAAAGACCUGAGAUAUAUGUAUUGUCACCUGGAAAGUUUUGUUUUUCUUCAUGGUAAAGAAAAAAAAAAAGGGUUAAACCUACUAUGCACAUAAUAUGUACUCAUACAUAGUUUAUACACAUAGUAUGUAAAGAUCUUUCUCAUG